GGGCGUGUGGUCUAGUGGUAUGAUUCUCGCUUUGGGUAGAUCUACAUAGUAGUCUUCAAAUAUGCGAGAGGCCCUGGGUUCAAUUCCCAGUAUGCCCC
Molecule: transfer RNA, 98 nt
Filed under: Zygosaccharomyces bailii ISA1307
Lineage: Eukaryota; Fungi; Ascomycota; Saccharomycetes; Saccharomycetales; Saccharomycetaceae
Description: transfer RNA-Pro(TGG)
Rfam family: tRNA
About the family: Transfer RNA (tRNA) molecules are approximately 80 nucleotides in length. Their secondary structure includes four short double-helical elements and three loops (D, anti-codon, and T loops).
Source: RNAcentral